GAUGAACGCUGGCGGCGUGCUUAACACAUGCAAGUCGAACGGUGAAGGCGGAGCUUGCUCUGCUGGAUCAGUGGCGAACGGGUGAGUAACACGUGAGCAAUCUGCCCCUGACUCUGGGAUAAGCGCUGGAAACGGCGUCUAAUACUGGAUACGAGCUGCGAAGGCAUCUUCAGCAGCUGGAAAGAAUUUCGGUCAGGGAUGAGCUCGCGGCCUAUCAGCUUGUUGGUGAGGUAAUGGCUCACCAAGGCGUCGACGGGUAGCCGGCCUGAGAGGGUGACCGGCCACACUGGGACUGAGACACGGCCCAGACUCCUACGGGAGGCAGCAGUGGGGAAUAUUGCUCAAUGGGCGAAAGCCUGAUGCAGCAACGCCGCGUGAGGGACGACGGCCUUCGGGUUGUAAACCUCUUUUAGCAGGGAAGAAGCGAAAGUGACGGUACCUGCAGAAAAAGCGCCGGCUAACUACGUG
This 468-nucleotide ribosomal RNA is filed under the name uncultured bacterium. Its description in RNAcentral is "partial 16S ribosomal RNA". It matches the Rfam family "Bacterial small subunit ribosomal RNA", at positions 28 to 507 of the family's 1533-position model. The record is from RNAcentral.